ACUCCUACGGGAGGCAGCAGUGGGGAAUAUUGCACAAUGGGGAAACCCUGAUGCAGCCAUGCCGCGUGUGUGAAGAAGGCCUUCGGUUGUAAAGCACUUUCAGUAGGGAGGAAGGUAGUGUAGUUAACACCUGCAUUAUUUGACGUUACCUACAGAAGAAGCACCGGCUAACUCCGUGCCAGCAGCCGCGGUAAUACGGAGGGGUGCGAGCGUUAAUCGGAAUUACUGGGCGUAAAGCGCAUGCAGGCGGCCUGUUAAGUCAGAUGUGAAAGCCCGGGGGCUUAACCUCGGAAUUGCAUUUGAAACUGGCAGGCUAGAGUCUUGUAGAGGGGGUAGAAUUUCAGGUGUAGCGGUGAAAUGCGUAGAGAUCUGAAGGAAUACCAGUGGCGAAGGCGGCCCCCUGGACAAAGACUGACGCUCAGAUGCGAAAGCUGGGGAGCAAACAGGAUAGGAUACCCUGGUAGCACAGAG
This 471-nucleotide ribosomal RNA is filed under the name uncultured bacterium. RNAcentral's name for it is "bacterial SSU rRNA". It matches the Rfam family "Bacterial small subunit ribosomal RNA", at positions 335 to 799 of the family's 1533-position model. The record is from RNAcentral.